Molecule: ribosomal RNA, 1362 nt
Filed under: uncultured bacterium
Lineage: Bacteria
Description: bacterial SSU rRNA
Rfam family: Bacterial small subunit ribosomal RNA
Source: RNAcentral
AUUGAACUGUUGGCGGCAGGCCUAACACAUGCAAGUCGAGCGGUAGCACAGAGAGCUUGCUCUCGGGUGACGAGCGGCGGACGGGUGAGUAAUGUCUGGGAAACUGCCUGAUGGAGGGGGAUAACUACUGGAAACGGUAGCUAAUACCGCAUAACGUCGCAAGACCAAAGUGGGGGACCUUCGGGCCUCAUGCCAUCAGAUGUGCCCAGAUGGGAUUAGCUAGUAGGUGGGGUAAUGGCUCACCUAGGCGACGAUCCCUAGCUGGUCUGAGAGGAUGACCAGCCACACUGGAACUGAGACACGGUCCAGACUCCUACGGGAGGCAGCAGUGGGGAAUAUUGCACAAUGGGCGCAAGCCUGAUGCAGCCAUGCCGCGUGUGUGAAGAAGGCCUUCGGGUUGUAAAGCACUUUCAGCGGGGAGGAAGGCGAUAAGGUUAAUAACCUUGUCGAUUGACGUUACCCGCAGAAGAAGCACCGGCUAACUCCGUGCCAGCAGCCGCGGUAAUACGGAGGGUGCAAGCGUUAAUCGGAAUUACUGGGCGUAAAGCGCACGCAGGCGGUCUGUCAAGUCGGAUGUGAAAUCCCCGGGCUCAACCUGGGAACUGCAUUCGAAACUGGCAGGCUGGAGUCUUGUAGAGGGGGGUGGAAUUCCAGGUGUAGCGGUGAAAUGCGUAGAGAUCUGGAGGAAUACCGGUGGCGAAGGCGGCCCCCUGGACAAAGACUGACGCUCAGGUGCGAAAGCGUGGGGAGCAAACAGGAUUAGAUACCCUGGUAGUCCACGCCGUAAACGAUGUCGAUUUGGAGGUUGUGCCCUUGAGGCGUGGCUUCCGGAGCUAACGCGUUAAAUCGACCGCCUGGGGAGUACGGCCGCAAGGUUAAAACUCAAAUGAAUUGACGGGGGCCCGCACAAGCGGUGGAGCAUGUGGUUUAAUUCGAUGCAACGCGAAGAACCUUACCUGGUCUUGACAUCCACAGAACUUUCCAGAGAUGGAUUGGUGCCUUCGGGAACUGUGAGACAGGUGCUGCAUGGCUGUCGUCAGCUCGUGUUGUGAAAUGUUGGGUUAAGUCCCGCAACGAGCGCAACCCUUAUCCUUUGUUGCCAGCGGUUAGGCCGGGAACUCAAAGGAGACUGCCAGUGAUAAACUGGAGGAAGGUGGGGAUGACGUCAAGUCAUCAUGGCCCUUACGACCAGGGCUACACACGUGCUACAAUGGCAUAUACAAAGAGAAGCGACCUCGCGAGAGCAAGCGGACCUCAUAAAGUAUGUCGUAGUCCGGAUUGGAGUCUGCAACUCGACUCCAUGAAGUCGGAAUCGCUAGUAAUCGUAGAUCAGAAUGCUACGGUGAAUACGUUCCCGGGCCU